UUAGGAAUCUGCCUAUUAGUGGGGGACAACUUCUCUAAAGGGAUGCUAAUACCGCAUACGUCCUACGGGAGAAAGCAGGGGACCUUCGGGCCUUGCGCUAAUAGAUGAGCCUAAGUCGGAUUAGCUAGUUGGUGGGGUAAAGGCCUACCAAGGCGACGAUCUGUAGCGGGUCUGAGAGGAUGAUCCGCCACACGGGGACUGAGACACGGCCCAGACUCCUACGGGAGGCAGCAUUGGGGAAUAUUGGACAAUGGGGGGAACCCUGAUCCAGCCAUGCCGCGUGUGUGAAGAAGGCCUUUUGGUUGUAAAGCACUUUAAGCGAGGAGGAGGCUACCGAGAUUAAUACUCUUGGAUAGUGGACGUUACUCGCAGAAUAAGCACCGGCUAACUCUGUGCCAGCAGCCGCGGUAAUACAGAGGGUGCAAGCGUUAAUCGGAUUUACUGGGCGUAAAGCGCGCGUAAGGUGGCCAAUUUAAGUCAAAUGUGAAAAUCCCCGAGCUUAACUUGGGAAAUUGCAUUUCAAUACUGGUUGGGCUA
RNAcentral lists this ribosomal RNA (537 nucleotides) under Acinetobacter sp. PM10463. RNAcentral's name for it is "bacterial SSU rRNA". It matches the Rfam family "Bacterial small subunit ribosomal RNA", at positions 117 to 643 of the family's 1533-position model. Lineage: Bacteria; Pseudomonadati; Pseudomonadota; Gammaproteobacteria; Moraxellales; Moraxellaceae. The record is from RNAcentral.